CCGGCACGGGUGAGUAACACGUAUCCAACCUGCCGUCUACUCUUGACAGCCUUCUGAAAGGAAAGAUUAAUACAAGAUGGCAUCAUGAGUUCACAUGUUCACAUGAUUAAAGGUAUUCCGGUAGACGAUGGGGAUGCGUUCCAUUAGAUAGUAGGCGGGGUAACGGCCCACCUAGUCUUCGAUGGAUAGGGGUUCUGAGAGGAAGGUCCCCCACAUUGGAACUGAGACACGGUCCAA
RNAcentral lists this ribosomal RNA (237 nucleotides) under uncultured bacterium. Its description in RNAcentral is "partial 16S ribosomal RNA". It matches the Rfam family "Bacterial small subunit ribosomal RNA", at positions 100 to 334 of the family's 1533-position model. The record is from RNAcentral.